GGACAGGGGACUUUGCUGCGUCGCUGUCUUCUCAUGGUGCACGAAGGGACAUCUGCAGAGUGGCUGCUCAGACGAUGUGUUAGAGAUGCUUCUGCUCAGCUACUUUGAGGAGCAGUCCAUGUUCCUCCAUGUAAAAGAUAGAUGUCUGGCAGAAGAGGUCCAACUGGAGCAAGUGCUUCUGACACCCACUGUUAUUGUCUGUCCUGCUAUUCCUCAACUAGGUACAUGCUGA
Carassius auratus (goldfish) is the source of this 232-nucleotide long non-coding RNA. RefSeq lists it as uncharacterized. The transcript has 3 exons. The record is from RefSeq and is a predicted model, not a curated record. NCBI's taxonomy places the organism in Eukaryota, Metazoa, Chordata, Actinopteri, Cypriniformes, Cyprinidae.